CCCUUAGAUGUCCUGGGCUGCACGCGCGCUACAAUAAUACGCACAGCGAGUAUCACCGAGCUCGAAAGGGCAAGGUAAACAAUAGAAAAGGUACUGUAAUGGUUAUAGAUCCUUGUAAUUAUUGAUCUUCAACGAGGAAUUCCUAGUAAGUAUGUGUCAUCAUCACGCACUGAUUACGUCCCUGCCCUUUGUACACACCGCCCGUCGCUCCUACCGAUUGAGUGAGCCGAUGAAACUGCCGGAUGUGGACUAUUCAUAGUCUGCAGAAGAUAUUUGAAUCGUAGCGCUUAGAGGAAGGAGAAGUCGUAACA
RNAcentral lists this ribosomal RNA (311 nucleotides) under uncultured eukaryote. RNAcentral's name for it is "partial 18S ribosomal RNA". It matches the Rfam family "Eukaryotic small subunit ribosomal RNA", at positions 1470 to 1796 of the family's 1831-position model. The record is from RNAcentral.